RNAcentral lists this ribosomal RNA (524 nucleotides) under Schindleria sp. 7 TK-2007. Its description in RNAcentral is "partial 16S rRNA". It matches the Rfam family "Bacterial large subunit ribosomal RNA", at positions 1851 to 2574 of the family's 2925-position model. Lineage: Eukaryota; Metazoa; Chordata; Actinopteri; Gobiiformes; Schindleriidae. The record is from RNAcentral.
GGUCCCGCCUGCCCAAUGAUAUAGAUUAAAUGGCCGCGGUAUUUUGACCGUGCAAAGGUAGCGUAAUAACUUGUCUUUUAAAUGGAGACCUGUAUGAAUGGCAUAACGAGGGUCAACCUGUCUCCUUACUCCAGUCAGUGAAAUUGAUCUUCCCGUGCAGAAGCGGGAGUAACACCAUAAGACGAGAAGACCCUAUGGAGCUUUUAGACGCCAGGGCACACCAAGUUAAAACUCCUAAGCUAACAGUAUAAACAAAUUGACCCUGCCCCCGUGUCUUUGGUUGGGGCGACCGCGGAGAAGAAUUCAACCCCCGCGCGGAAUAGAAAUACCUAUCUUUUGAAAUAAGAGCCACAGCUCGAAAAGCCAGAAAGUCUGACCAAGUAGAUCCGGCAAAGCCGAUCAACGGACUUAGUUACCCUAGGGAUAACAGCGCAAUCUCCUCUUAGAGCCCCUAUCGACGAGGAGGUUUACGACCUCGAUGUUGGAUCAGGACAUCCUAAUGGUGCAGCCGCUAUUAAGGGUUC